UACAGAGGGGGCAAGCGUUGUUCGGAAUUACUGGGCGUAAAGGGCGCGUAGGCGGCCUGUUAAGUCGAACGUGAAAUCCCCGGGCUCAACCCGGGAACUGCGUCCGAUACUGGCAGGCUUGAAUCCGGGAGAGGGAUGUGGAAUUCCAGGUGUAGCGGUGAAAUGCGUAGAUAUCUGGAGGAACACCGAUGGCGAAGGCAGCCCCCUGGGUUAACACUGACGCUCAUGCACGAAAGCGUGGGGAGCAAACAGG
RNAcentral lists this ribosomal RNA (253 nucleotides) under uncultured bacterium. Its description in RNAcentral is "partial 16S ribosomal RNA". It matches the Rfam family "Bacterial small subunit ribosomal RNA", at positions 524 to 776 of the family's 1533-position model. The record is from RNAcentral.